This is a non-coding RNA of Cinara cedri, 387 nucleotides long. The record is from the annotation of a GenBank genome assembly. NCBI's taxonomy places the organism in Eukaryota, Metazoa, Arthropoda, Insecta, Hemiptera, Aphididae.
ACGACUACACAGCACAAGAGUCGUGUAACGAAUAAAUAAUAAACGACAUGUUAUAUUAUUGUAGUUGCAUAGGCGAGUCGUGAUGAAUUUUUUUUUUAAUCGAGAACUCCGAAAUCCAAAAACAACAACUGCGUUGUGUUCUGUAAUCGAUUAACACAUAACGGGGUGGAGAAUUUUCCAAGCUGCGCUAAAGGUAAUUAAAAAGAGUUAAAAGUUACUUUUUUUUUUUUUUUUUUACAUUUAUCACCAACCGACAAUUUUCUCAGAGAAUUAAAAUCACUUAAUAGUGAAUUAGAUAUCUGUUUCUUACGAUCGAAUGUUUCGGGUAAGUUUUUAUAUUUUUCGUUCAUGCAGUUGUGCGAAUCGGCCGUCGAACUUGUAGAAAUC